UACGUAGGCAGCAAGCGUUGUUCGGAGUUACUGGGCGUAAAGGGUGUGUAGGCGGUUGUUUAAGUUUGGUGUGAAAUCUCCCGGCUCAACUGGGAGGGUGCGCCGAAUACUGAAUGACUAGAGUGUGGGAGCGGUGAGUGGAAUUCCUGGUGUAGCGGUGAAAUGCGUAGAUAUCAGGAGGAACACCGGUGGUGUAGACGGCUCACUGGACCAUAACUGACGCUGAGACACGAAAGCGUGGGUAGCAAACAGG
This 253-nucleotide ribosomal RNA is filed under the name uncultured bacterium. RNAcentral's name for it is "partial 16S ribosomal RNA". It matches the Rfam family "Bacterial small subunit ribosomal RNA", at positions 524 to 776 of the family's 1533-position model. The record is from RNAcentral.